UUGAUUAGAAGCCAAAAAGAGGCCUAUUAUUGUUAAUAAUAUCAUUGAAGAAACCACUUCCUAUCAAG
RNAcentral lists this transfer RNA (68 nucleotides) under Polycheles baccatus. RNAcentral describes it as "tRNA-Asn". Lineage: Eukaryota; Metazoa; Arthropoda; Malacostraca; Decapoda; Polychelidae. The record is from RNAcentral.